RNAcentral lists this long non-coding RNA (8120 nucleotides) under Triticum aestivum (bread wheat). RNAcentral describes it as "long non-coding RNA (TAES_LNC008810)". Lineage: Eukaryota; Viridiplantae; Streptophyta; Magnoliopsida; Poales; Poaceae. The record is from RNAcentral.
GCAUAUUGGUGAAACACCACAUGACUUAUUUAGUUCUCUCCCGUUUAUGUACUCGACAAUAUUAAAUGUUGGUCAACAUGGCAAGAGGUGAGGCAUAAUUAAACUACACUAUCUAAGCAAUUUAAAUGGGGCCGGAAACAACAAACAACAAUUCCGGAAAAUCCCCACAUGCAUAUUUUGAAUUUACUACUGUUCUGCCCUAAACACAAUUUUAAUGUUGGUAAACAGAAAAAUAAAGUACACCAUGUUAAACUAGGCAUUUUUCUACCCCAUUUACAUAUAAAGUUUAUUAAAUUCGGAGCUACGGUUAUUUAGUUAUGAAAUAAAGCAUUUUAGCAUGGCAUUUAAGCUAAUUAAUUCAAACAGCACAUUUAAACAUUUUAAGCAUGGAUGAAAGUUGGAUAUUUUGAAACUAGAUGAAAUUCUAAGCAUUUUACAUGUUUAAAUCAUUUUAAUCCAAUGCACGGUUUUGGAGUUAUUAUAUGCAUGAACAUUGAGGGGUAAACUGUAAAUAUGCAGUUUUCUGGAUAAUUGGCAAAUUCGCAGAACCAAAAAAAACAGGCCGAAACUAGAGGGGCUGGGGAAGCUCACCCAUGGGCUCGGCCCAGGAGUUGGGGGGAGGCCGCUGGGCCUGGCGCGACCCACGAGCAGCCGGAUCGGUCAACGGGCGAGGGGCGGGCGAGACGCUCUGCUCGUUACUGAAGAACGAGCAACAGAAGCAGCGGCAGGUUCACGUCAAUGCAGAAGAUGGCGCCGGGGAGGUUCUGGCGACGGGGUCGGUGCGAACCAGUGAGUAGGCGCCGGAGAUGGCCGGAUCUGGUGGCAAUUCGGGUCAAAACGAGGCAUGGCGGCGCCGGCGCGCUGUGGAAGAGGACCGGCAGCAGGGAUGUACUCCUGCGAACAUAUACAGGUUGUGAGAGAGUUUCAGAGAGGAGAGAAACAGAGAAGAAACGGGAAAAAGGAGGGAAGAACGGGCACAGGCGGCUAGAGGUGCUCACGAGCGAGCUGCGGUGGCUCGAGGCAGCGCAGGGGAUCGAGCGAGCAUCUUGACCUGAAGCAGGGGGCGCAGGGAAGCAGGGGCACGGGACUUGGCGCGAUGCGGGAAGAUGGAGGUCGUCGGCGGCACUUGGCGGCGGGGACGGCUGGAGGCUGCCGGAUCAGGACGGAUCCGGGACGAAGGGACCCGUUCCCGGCGAUGGCGAGACUGCUCCUGCUUGAACAGAGAGAGAGGCCGAGAGGUGAGAGGCAUCCAGAGGAAGCAGAGAAAGCGAGAGGAGGGAGAUGGCAGGGAGCGGGACGACCUGGUGGUGGUGACCGACGGCGAAGGGAGCUCCGGUGGUGCUGCUGCUUGCGGUGGCGCGCGGGAAGCACGGGAGGAGGGCGAUGGGGGUCGGCGUGGAGUGGAUCGAGGAGCUGCUCUGGUUGGCCGGGCGAGAGAAUUGGGGAGGAGCAGUGGGGAGCGCUGGUUGGUGGGUGGAGGAAAACGAGGAGAAGGGAUCCCGAGGUGGAUCGAGACCGGGGCUGGCGGCGGCGGAGGGGUUCGGAGGAUGGGACAGCUCUCCUCAAUUUUAGGGUUGGUCAAUAUAUAUCUCAUAGGGAUUAGAUUAGAGGCUAUUUGGGCCCUCCGAUUUAAAUCGGAUGAUCGAGAAAAAUAGGCUAGGAGAGUCCAACAAAGAAAACGGUGAUGUUAUAUAGAUGUUUGGGGAUGAUCCGGAUCCAAUGGUCACGACUGAGAGAUUCGGGUUCGGGACAGCUUCGGACGCGCACACGAGGGGUCUGUGCACUGUACAGAGAGACUCUGGUCUAGGCCAGAGGGCAAACGAAGAACAAGGUUGGUCUCGGAACGGUCAACGAAAGCAAGGGGGGACGCGGCAACUACGAGCGGAUGCAAGUUUAAAAACAAUGACGACAACGAGUGCCGAUGCAAUGCAAAAGAUGACAUGAUGAAAUGCAACAAACAAAUAAAACACACGGUGACAACGAAAACAUGGAAGGCAUCUGAAGUGUCGGUCUCGGGGCGUCACAACACUCCUCCACUUACAAGAGAUCUCGUCCCGAGAUCUAGGAUGGCACCGGAGAGAAACGGAAGAAGGAAGAGGUAAAACUAAGUUGCUUCUUUGACAAACGAGUGAAACCACGAACCUCGAGAGGUUUAACAAUUUGCAAGAAAGAAUGCAAUGGAGAUGAAUGAGAUUGCAAAACACUCCGUUAGCAAAGAGGAACAAAGAACAUUUGCGAGAGCCUUGUAGGUUGAAAGACAUGACAUAAGAGCUUCAUGGAACAAAGGAAUAUGGAGCCACACCGGUAUAACGAGAUAGCCAAGGAACAAGAAUGACAUAAUUUUGACAGCACUCCGGUUGAACAUGGAAUGAAUAGAACAAUAACUUGACAAGAUGGGAAAAUACUUGACGAGAGCAACAACACAAUGCCUCCGGAACAAAAGAACGAAUAGAAUGAAAAGAAGGGAGAAGACAAUAACAUCUUCUACCUCAAAUGAAUUUGAUAUAGCAUCCUUAAAAAGAAGGAUAGAACGGAGUUGUUGAAGAAUCAACAACGAAAAGAAUAAGCUUGCAGUGGACUUAUGGAAACAUCUCAACAUUUUGAGGUGACAAACGGCCACUAAAGGAAGCCAUUGAUUUGAGUGAGAGCACCAAGGCGAUGAAAAACUUCUUUCACCAAGAGGAUAGGAGAAAACUUGGAUCAUUGAUAAGCACCAUAAUAGCAACAUUCCUUAGGGAAGGCUUUAGGUGAAACAUGACACAAGAUAAAUCCAACGAAGAGAUUGGUGGAUUUAAAAUAUCUCAUUCUUGACAACAUGUGAAUCAUGAAACGCGAACUCAAAUUGUCAAGAAUGACAUAACACCACCUCAAAUGAUAAGGUAGAACGAAUUGCACUUUAGAAUGCAAGAUGACGAAUGCUUGAACUCCUCAGGACAAAACAUGUGUUGAACACCAUGUUUAUUUUAGAGUAUAGCUUGGCGGAUCUUAAGUUCGAGAGAAAUCUUGAAAAUAAUAAUUUAAGAAUGAAAGGAAUCCUUAACGAAGCACCAUGUUGAGCCUUCGUGAGAACUCCGGUCAAGAAUGAUCAAACGAAAGGAAAGCUGAAAAGAACUCCAGUAAUAAAAGGAUGAUAGAAAGAAAGAGAAGUUGAAAACACAAGGUGAAGCCUUGCAGUGAUAAGAUGAAGCUUUGAAAUGAUAUAACCGAGAAAACUUGGAACUCCGGAAAGAAAGAUGAACAAAUGAAAACAAGAAUUUUGAUGAACCUCCGGAAUAAGGAAUUGAAUUUACUCGAUGAAACAAAAAUAAGAAUUACAUUAUGCUCAUCCUUCACCAAUUAAAUUGAUGACAAGCAAUGGAUUUGGCAUACUACUUAUUCUCGUAGAAAGGAUUAAGAUAUAUAUGGCGCAAACUUGGGAAGGUCUUCAACGAACCACCGGUAGGAUUGGAAAGAACGAAUGAAUCUAUAUGAUAACGAAGGAAGAGAACUCUUGAACGAACCACCGUUAGAAUUGAAAAUGAACGAAGAAAAGAUAAAGAAACACCGGGAAGAAUUAGAAAAUGAACGAAGAUACUUGAGAGAAUUUAGAUACAAGUGAAACGAAGAGAUCAUGAACUGAUUAGAGAAUACUUGAAUGCUGCACCGGUAAGAUUUGGAGAACGAGAGCCGAAUGUUGAGAAUGAAUAAAUCUUCUGAAAUGAUGGCCUUUGGAGAAUCAAACUGAAAAGACUCAUGAAUUGCUCCGGAUGGGUGAAAAGAAUUCUCACAAUUGAAAACAAUUAUGAGAGGAUGGCAUGACGCUAGAACCAUGAAUCUUUGGAAGAACGGGUAAGGGUUUAAGAGGAACUCUUCUUCGGUCUUCAAAAUCCGAGAAUGACGAUGAGAAACACCAUGAAUUGUUGAGGCACUCCGGAAUGAAGAAUAGAAGGUUGAACCAGCGAUGAAAAGAAUUUAGAAGAUCUUGGAGAAAGACAUUUGACUGAUGAUAAUUCAUUCUUACGUCAAACUUUGCAAUGAAUUUGAGAAUAACUCCGGAAAGAAUUAGAAGAGUAGGUAAGAUCAUGGGAAAAGACCUGUGGGUUAUGGCCCACUCAAGAGAAACACCGUUGGAAUGAUUUUGAAGAGAGAUUGCACCGGUUGAAUUAAAUGGCUUGAAUGAGAUAGCAUCCUCAAAAGAACUUGAGUGAAUUGAGAAUGGAAACUUGAAUCUUCUGAGAUAUCUUCAUCACUCCAGAACAAUUGAAUAGCGAGAAAUGGAUGAUUAAGAGGUGCACCGGUACGAGAAAAACAUUUGAAAUGAGGAAAAGAUAUGAUCGACAAAGCUUGAAUUUAAUCCACUGGAGAAGAAAGAGAACGAAUAAUGAUGAAGUUAAGGCUCCGUUAGUAUCUUCCUGAGAAUCACCGGAUAAGAACAUUGACGGAAAAGAAUGGAGAGACUUCCCAUCUAUAAGAUGGAUACUUGAUGAAGAAAUCUGAGUCCUUGAAGAAAAAGGGUGGGAGGGCGGGGAAAACAAAGACAACUUGGGGCGGAUGAAGCAAACACCGUUGCAAAGAACUGAGAAUUGAUCUCGCGAAUGUUGAAAUGAUCGGAUCCACUUGAAAAAGAUCACGUCGGUUGGAAAAGAAUUGGCAUGACAAUCUCGAUGAUCAAGAAGGCUUAGUAUCCACAUAGAAAUAUGAGAACACCGCUUAGGGAAGGUAUGGAAUCAACACUUGGCAUUGAAGCAACUCGAAUACCACAAAACAAAACAAAAACAAAGGAUUUGGCUUGCAAAAUAAGCCGGAACAAACAUAUGAUAGAGAUUUCGUCCGAAGUUUUCGUGGUGGGGCCCACACGGGCUCGAUCGUACAGCACCAUCAUGUACAAGGCAGUGCACAUGCCAUACGAAGCGUCCCCGAGUCAGCAUAGCCAAGGACUCUUUAAGACACUACGAGACCACUGUAAAACCAACCGUGGAUAGGCAGACCACUAGACGUCGAACCCCAAUCUCAUAUCAUGCAUCUGUCGGAAAGAAAUCCUAUGAGCUACUUGAAUUCCCACUUAUAAACUCCCGAAACUUUCUGUUUAUGCAAUCAGGUGUUGGGGAUACAGGGGACACAAUAUAUCUCACCCAAACUAACAAUACCUAGAUCCAGUUGUAGCCAUCCUUCAACACAUAACCAAGAAACCUUCGGAAAUCAUUUACCUCAACCUUCGAAAAGCAUCCGUUAUACGAGUUAUGGCAAUACUCCCGAACUCCCGCCCCAGUACUGGGUGGCGUCGAGGUGAUCUCACCAACAACUGCAUAAAAGAGAUUUUCGAUGUCGGCGAAACUCAGGUAUUCCAGAACUGCAACGAUAAAAUUGUGACGACAACACCUCGGAGCUCAACUCCCCGGGACACUGCCACAACCCCUAAAUGUCAGGAGGCACCAAGAACAAUGUUCUCGUCACAAAACCAUCAGAACGAUUCCAAGAUACCCGCGUGAUCCUAAAAAAAAUUCGUGAAAUUUGAGGAGAGGAGAGUCAAAACUUCUACGUCAGGGGGCCUCACCAGAGCGACGAAGGGACUGAGGAGUAAAAAGAAUCCUACUCUUCGAUAUAUAUAAUCCUAAGACUCAAAACAUUUUUGUUCUAGACUCAACAACGCCAGCGAUUCGAUCAAGCAGGGGGCUCCUAAGUCGGGGAUGGCUCUGAUUACCAACUUGUAACGCCCAUGAUGCGGCUAUAUCUCCCACGUGUCGAGGCACGACUUAGAGGCAUAACCGCAUUGUAGGUAUUGUCGCAAGAAGGGUCAUCUUCACACAAUCCCAUGUAAUGAACAAGAAUGGGAUAAAGAGAGUUGGCUUACAAUCGCCACUUCACACAAAACAUAAAUAAAUUCAUACAUCAUCCAAAAUACACACAUAGACCGACUAUGGUCAAAUCCAAAUGAAAAGAAGAUAACCCCAAAUGCUAGAUCCCCGAUCGUCCCAACUGGGCUCCACUACUGAUCAUCAGGAAACGAAACAUAGUAACGACCAAGUUCCUCGUCGAACUCCCACUUGAGCUCGGUUGCGUCACCUGCACUGGUAUCGUCGGCGCCUGCAACUGUUUUGGUAGAAUCUGUGAGUCACGAGGACUCAGCAAUCUCACACCCGCGAGAUCAAGACUAUUUAAGCUUAUAGGAAGGAUGAGGUAAUGAGGUGGAGCUGCAGCAAGCACUAAGCAUAUAUGGUGGCUAACAUACGCAAAUAAGAGCGAGAAGAGGAGCAACGCAACGGUCGCGAAGCUAGAAGUGAUCAAGAAGUGAUCCUAAAACUGCUUAUGUUCAUACAUAACCCAAACCGUCUUCACUUCCCGGACUCCGCCGAAAAGAGACCAUCACGGCUACACACGCGGAUGAUGUAUUUUAAUUAAGUCAAGUGUCAUGUUCUCUACAAUCGGACAUUAACAAAUUCCCAUCUGCCACAUAACCGCGGGCACGGCUUUCGAAAGAUAAUACCCUGCAGGGGUGUCCCAACUUAGCCCAUUAUAAGCUCUCACGGUCAACGAAGGAUAUUCCUUCUCCCGGGAAGACCCGAUCAGUCUCGGAAUCCCGGUUUACAAGACAUUUCGACAAUGGUAAAACAAGACCAGCAAGACCACCCGCUGUGCCGACAAAUCCCGAUAGGAGCUGCACAUAUCUCGUCUCAGGGCACACCGGAUAAGCUAAGCGUACAGGUACCGACGUAACCCAAGUUGCCAAGGGAUGGUCCCGCACGGUGCUCUAGUUUGGACCAACACUCAAAGGAGCACUGGCCCGGGGGGUUAAAAUAAAGAUGACCCUUGAGUCUGCAGAACCCAAGGGAAAAAGGCUUAGGUGGCAAAUGUUAAAACCAAGGUUGGGCCUUGCUGGAGGAGUUUUAUUCAAGGCGAACUGUCAAGGGGGUCCCAUAAAUCACCCAACCGCGUAAGGAACGCAAAAUCAAGGAACAUAACACCGGUAUGACGGAAACUAGGGCAAGAGUGGAACAAAACACCAGGCAUAAGGCCGAGCCUUCCACCCUUUACCAAGUAUAUAGAUGCAUUAAUUAAAUAAGAGAUAUUGUGAUAUCCCAAAAUAUCCAUGUUCCAACAUGGAACCAACUUCAUCUUCACCUGCAACUAGCAACACUAUAAGAAGGGCUGAGCAAAAGCGGUAACUUAGCUAAACAACGGUUUGCUAGGAAAGGAUGGUUAGAGGUUUGACAUGGCAAUAUGGGAGGCAUGAUAUAACAAGUGGUAGGUAGCGCGGCAAAGCAAUAGAGCGAACAACUACCAAGCAAAGAUAGAAGUGAUUUCGAGGGUAUGGUCAUCUUGCCUGAGAUCCCGCAAGGAAGAAGAACGAGUCCAUGAAGAAGACAAACGGACGUAGUCGAACGAAUCCUCACAACUCCGGAACGAAACCGAAGCUAACGAGAGAAGCAAACCGGAAAGAAGCAAACAACAUGGUAAACAACCAUCACAGAAACAUGGCAUGAUGCGCAAUCAAAUAUGAUGCAUGUUCGGUUUAAAGAGGCAUGGCAUGGCAAAGUGCAACAAACAACUCUACAAGUUAAGUGGAGCUCAAUAUUAAAUGAGUUGCAUAUUGGUGAAACACCACAUGACUUAUUUAGUUCUAUCCCGUUUAUGUACUCGACAAUAUUAAAUGUUGGUCAACAUGGCAAGAGGUGAGGCAUAAUUAAACUACACUAUCUAAGCAAUUUAAAUGGGGCCGGAAACAACAAACAACAAUUCCGGAAAAUCCCCACAUGCAUAUUUUGAAUUUACUACUGUUCUGCCCUAAACACAAUUUUAAUGUUGUUAAACAGCAAAAUAAAGUACACCAUGUUAAACUAGGCAUUUUUCUACCCCAUUUACAUAUAAAGUUUAUUAAAUUCGGAGCUACGGUUAUUUAGUUAUGAAAUAAAGCAUUUUAGCCUGGCAUUUAAGCUAAUUAAUUCAAAUAGCACAUUUAAACAUUUUAAGCAUGGAUGAAAGUUGGAUAUUAUGAAACUAGAUGAAAUUCUAAGCAUUUUACAUGUUUAAAUCAUUUUAAUCCAAUGCACGGUUGUGGAGUUAUUAUAUGCAUGAACAUGGAGGGGUAAACUGUAAAUAUGCAGUUUUCUGGAUAAUUGGCAAAUUCGCAGAACAAAAAAAAA